GAGAAUAACCACUUGCUGUCUGAGCUUCUGGGGUCAUUUCUCACAUUUCUGCUCCAGAUAUGUGUGCACUUGGACACCUGGUGGGUGAACAGAGAAUUGGAGGAUUGACUAAUAUGAUGGAACCCCCCGCAUCUGGAGUCAUGAGUAUUGGUCAAGCUUUAAGAUAAAGAAAUGGCUCUCCUCACUGUGAUUACUAUAGGCCUUUAAGAUGAUUAGUAGACUGUUCUCCUGACUUUUCCCUAAAUGGUGGUGAGAAGCCUGAGCCAAGGGGCAGGUUUCUUCCCCAUUCCUGACAUGUUCUUUUUGGGGAGAAGAGCUCCAUGAGGGGACUCUGGGCCUCCCCAGACUCCUGUCCUGGUAAGCAGGAGAGCCUGGGAUGCUCAAAAGGCGUAUCAUUAAAAGGCCCUAAACAUUCAGUAUUCAUCGGGUAUCCGUUCUGUGUCAGGCAUGAUGCUCGCUGCCAAGGACACAACAAUG
Lontra canadensis (Northern American river otter) is the source of this 477-nucleotide long non-coding RNA. RefSeq lists it as uncharacterized. NCBI's taxonomy places the organism in Eukaryota, Metazoa, Chordata, Mammalia, Carnivora, Mustelidae. The transcript has 3 exons. The record is from RefSeq and is a predicted model, not a curated record.